GCUAAUACCGCAUAACGUCGCAAGACCAAAGAGGGGGACCUUCGGGCCUCUUGCCAUCGGAUGUGCCCAGAUGGGAUUAGCUAGUAGGUGGGGUAACGGCUCACCUAGGCGACGAUCCCUAGCUGGUCUGAGAGGAUGACCAGCCACACUGGAACUGAGACACGGUCCAGACUCCUACGGGAGGCAGCAGUGGGGAAUAUCGCACAAUGGGCGCAAGCCUGAUGCAGCCAUGCCGCGUGUAUGAAGAAGGCCUUCGGGUUGUAAAGUACUUUCAGCGGGGAGGAAGGGAGUUAAGUUAAUACCUUUGCUCAUUGACGUUACCCGCAGAAGGAGCGCCGGCUAACUCCGUGCCAGCAGCCGCGGUAAUACGGAGGGUGCAAGCGUUAAUCGGAAUUACUGGGCGUAAAGCGCACGCAGGCGGUUUGUUAAGUCAGAUGUGAAAUCCCCGGGCUCAACCUGGGAACUGCAUCUGAUACUGGCAAGCUUGAGUCUCGUAGAGGGGGGUAGAAUUCCAGGUGUAGCGGUGAAAUGCGUAGAGAUCUGGAGGAAUACCGGUGGCGAAGGCGGCCCCCUGGACGAAGACUGACGCUCAGGUGCGAAAGCGUGGGGAGCAAACGGGAUUAGAUACCCUGGUAGUCCACGCCGUAAACGAUGUCGACUUGGAGGUUGUGCCCUUGAGGCGUGGCUUCCGGAGCUAACGCGUUAAGUCGACCGCCUAGGGAGUACGGCCGCAAGGUUAAAACUCAAAUGAAUUGACGGGGGCCCGCACAAGCGGUGGAGCAUGUGGUUUAAUUCGAUGCAACGCGAAGAACCUUACCUGGUCUUGACAUCCACGGAAGUUUUCAGAGAUGAGAAUGUGCCUUCGGGAACCGUGAGACAGGUGCUGCAUGGCUGUCGUCAGCUCGUGUUGUGAAAUGUUGGGUUAAGUCCCGCAACGAGCGCAACCCUUAUCCUUUGUUGCCAGCGGUCCGGCCGGGAACUCAAAGGAGACUGCCAGUGACAAACUGGAGGAAGGUGGGGAUGACGUCAAGUCAUCAUGGCCCUUACGACCAGGGCUACACACGUGCUACAAUGGCGCAUACAAAGAGAAGCGACCUCGCGAGAGCAAGCGGACCUCAUAAGUGCGUCGUAGUCCGGAUUGGAGUCUGCAACUCGACUCCAUGAAGUCGGAAUCGCUAGUAAUCGUGGAUCAGAAUGCCACGGUGAAUACGUUCCCGGGCCUUGUACACACCGCCCGUCACACCAUGGGAGUGGGUUGCAAAGGAAGUAGGUAGCUUAACCUUCGGGAGGGCGCUUACCACUUUGUGAUUCAUGACUGGGGUGAAGUCGUAACAGGGUA
This 1339-nucleotide ribosomal RNA is filed under the name metagenome. RNAcentral's name for it is "bacterial SSU rRNA". It matches the Rfam family "Bacterial small subunit ribosomal RNA", at positions 162 to 1498 of the family's 1533-position model. The record is from RNAcentral.